Musa acuminata subsp. malaccensis (wild Malaysian banana) is the source of this 1731-nucleotide non-coding RNA. The record is from RefSeq and is a predicted model, not a curated record. NCBI's taxonomy places the organism in Eukaryota, Viridiplantae, Streptophyta, Magnoliopsida, Zingiberales, Musaceae.
AUGCCAGGAAACAGGAAAUUGGCCUUUCUCUUUCGGAUCGAGUUCUUGUCGGAUUCAAACCAAACCCGCACCGUUAAAUAUAUUGUUCAAGGUGUACUCGAUCUUUCGAGCAGUGCCGGCGAAGCUGCAAGGCAGGAAACGAGGGCCUCCCCAAGUGAAAAAAAAAAAGGGCGGCAGGGACAAUAUGCUGAUUUAGGCAUCAAUCCUUUGGUAGCUGCACAGAUGCAAUACAUGUCAGCACAGAGCCUACAACACAACUCUGGUAUGAGUCAUUUUCCAGGAGGAUCAGAUUCUUUCCAGCCUGGUGAAGAACAUCAAUAUAUGCCUUCUAAAGAAGAGGGACAAUGGCAGUGGAAUAGAAAUGACCCAAAGGGAUCAAAUCAUCUAUCUCAACUGUAUAAAGAAGGCCAAGGAAGUGAUGUUUCAUGCUCUUUGUAUGAAGGACAAGUGUCUGAUACAAAAUUAGGUAUGGAUAUGCAGGCCACUAAAGACCCAAGAGCACUAGCUUAUGAGGAUUAGCCGGAGGCCAGAUUUGAGGAUAGCACUCUUCCUCAAACUUUGGAAGGUCUUGAACAAAAAUUUCUUUAUGAUAUUAUGAACUUGACCAAGGAGCAGCAGGAAGCAGAGGACAGAGAGAAUGCUAGACAUCGAGAGGUCCAGCCUCCCAUAUCCUUAAGUUUCUGCAUUGAAUCGAUUCUAAAUGCUUGCACAAAAUUUUUUUGAGCAUUAUCCUGGUGGUCGUGGCUUUGGUUCUCAUGAUCAUUAUCCUGGUGGUCGAGCUUAUAACUCCAGAGGCCGACAUUUUUGAACAAAGUUGCAAAAAUGUUUCUCCUCAUCCUUUGGCCUGUCAUCACUGCUUGACAACAUUAUUCUGAAGACUCGUAUCUCAGUAGUAUUGAUGAAGCACAAAUAGCUUUUCUCUAAGCGGCAACUGUUCUGCUGAAUGCCGAUCAUGUCUGGAUAUAUGGGUGUGUAGCAGUGUAGUGGAUAAUCUUCAAAAUUUUCUUAGUGUAUUUCACUGUGAAUUACUUCAAUAUCAUCACCUCGAUCAAUAUAUUUGUUCUGAACAUGGUGGCAACAGAGCUCUAGACUUCCUCAUCAUAAUUCUGGGCAGGCUUAGCUUCAGUUUGAGAUUUUCUCGAAUGAUCAUCAGGCAGUGUUUCUUUCACAGUCGUGAGCAUGCUGGUUGAUCUUAAUAUAUCAGCACUCAACCUUCGUCAAGGCAAAAUUUCAUAUACGCCAGUGAAAGACCAGUCUUCUAUUUGCGCUUUCAAGAGUGUAAUUAUCAAAUUUGUCCCUCAUGGAGCUAUAAAUUCUUUUGUCACUGGUAUAUUCAUGGUGGAUGCCUGUGAACUCAGUGUGCUACCAUCAGCCAUAUCUACCCCUAAACUAAGGUACAUGUGAUAUUUUUUAUAUGUUGGAAUAUUAUAUUUACUCUUUCUGGUAUGCUGCAUGAUGACUCAUAAUUUCAUCGAAGCCCUUGCCAAGUAGUUUUUAUUAUAUAUGCCAUUUGUAACAUAAUAAAAUGUUCAUAAAUGACAUUUUCCAUGGGUACUGAUGAUAUUUAUAGAAUUUAAGAAUGUCCUCGUCAAGUGUCACAGCUGUUACAUUUUCAAAAAUUUUACAUGUGGACAUUUUCAUAUUUUGAAGAGGAUAUGAUAUUUACUCUUUCUGUAUAUGCUGCAUGAUGCUUAUAAUUUCACCAAAGCCCCUGCCAAGUAAUUUGUUUCA